RNAcentral lists this ribosomal RNA (253 nucleotides) under uncultured bacterium. Its description in RNAcentral is "partial 16S ribosomal RNA". It matches the Rfam family "Bacterial small subunit ribosomal RNA", at positions 524 to 776 of the family's 1533-position model. The record is from RNAcentral.
UACGGAGGGUGCAAACGUUGCUCGGAAUCAUUGGGCGUAAAGCGCACGUAGGCGGACUGCUAAGUCGGACGUGAAAUCCCUCAGCUUAACUGAGGAAGUGCAUUCGAAACUAGCAGUCUUGAGUACAGGAGAGGGUCGCGGAAUUCCCGGUGUAGAGGUGAAAUUCGUAGAUAUCGGGAGGAACACCAGUGGCGAAGGCGGCGGCCUGGACCAAUACUGACGCUCAUGUGCGAAAGCGUGGGGAGCAAACAGG